This 638-nucleotide ribosomal RNA is filed under the name uncultured bacterium. RNAcentral describes it as "bacterial SSU rRNA". It matches the Rfam family "Bacterial small subunit ribosomal RNA", at positions 237 to 885 of the family's 1533-position model. The record is from RNAcentral.
CCUAUCAGCUUGUUGGUGAGGUAAUGGCUCACCAAGGCGACGACGGGUAGCCGGCCUGAGAGGGCGACCGGCCACACUGGGACUGAGACACGGCCCAGACUCCUACGGGAGGCAGCAGUGGGGAAUAUUGCACAAUGGGCGAAAGCCUGAUGCGGCGACGCCGCGUGAGGGAUGACGGCCUUCGGGUUGUAAACCUCUUUCAGCAGGGAAGAAGCGAAAGUGACGGUACCUGCAGAAGAAGCGCCGGCUAACUACGUGCCAGCAGCCGCGGUAAUACGUAGGGCGCAAGCGUUGUCCGGAAUUAUUGGGCGUAAAGAGCUCGUAGGCGGCUUGUCACGUCGGGUGUGAAAGCCCGGGGCUUAACCCCGGGUCUGCAUUCGAUACGGGCUAGCUAGAGUGUGGUAGGGGAGAUCGGAAUUCCUGGUGUAGCGGUGAAAUGCGCAGAUAUCAGGAGGAACACCGGUGGCGAAGGCGGAUCUCUGGGCCAUUACUGACGCUGAGGAGCGAAAGCGUGGGGAGCGAACAGGAUUAGAUACCCUGGUAGUCCACGCCGUAAACGGUGGGAACUAGGUGUUGGCGACAUUCCACGUCGUCGGUGCCGCAGCUAACGCAUUAAGUUCCCCGCCUGGGGAGUACGG